This 140-nucleotide ribosomal RNA is filed under the name uncultured eukaryote. Its description in RNAcentral is "partial 18S ribosomal RNA". It matches the Rfam family "Eukaryotic small subunit ribosomal RNA", at positions 1299 to 1458 of the family's 1831-position model. The record is from RNAcentral.
UGGUGGAGUGAUUUGUCUGGUUAAUUCCGUUAACGAACGAGACCUUGACCUGCUAAAUAGUCGCACGAAUCUUCUGAUUUGUGAUAGACUUCUUAGAGGGACUUUGCGUGUCUAACGCAAGGAAGUUUGAGGCAAUAACA